UUACUGGGCGUAAGCGCACGCAGGCGGUCUGUCAAGUCGGAUGUGAAAUCCCCGGCCUCAACCUGGGAACUGCAUUCGAAACUGGCAGGCUAGAGUCUUGUAGAGGGGGGUAGAAUUCCAGGUGUAGCGGUGAAAUGCGUAGAGAUCUGGAGGAAUACCGGUGGCGAAGGCGGCCCCCUGGACAAAGACUGACGCUCAGGUGCGAAAGCGUGGGGAGCAAACAGGAUUAGAUACCCUGGUAGUCCACGCCGUAAACGAUGUCGAUUUGGAGGUUGUGCCCUUGAGGCGUGGCUUCCGGAGCUAACGCGUUAAAUCGACCGCCUGGGGAGUACGGCCGCAAGGUUAAAACUCAAAUGAAUUGACGGGGGCCCGCACAAGCGGUGGAGCAUGUGGUUUAAUUCGAUGCAACGCGAAGAACCUUACCUGGUCUUGA
Molecule: ribosomal RNA, 433 nt
Filed under: Klebsiella pneumoniae
Lineage: Bacteria; Pseudomonadati; Pseudomonadota; Gammaproteobacteria; Enterobacterales; Enterobacteriaceae
Description: bacterial SSU rRNA
Rfam family: Bacterial small subunit ribosomal RNA
Source: RNAcentral